CUCCCGCUCAAGCUUGAUUUUCAAACAGAAUAGACAUUAAAUGUGGAAAAGCUCGUCUUGAGAAGUUCAACUAGUACCGUUUAUACAGCCGAUUGCAUUGGGUGUAGUUAAAAGUAAUAUCUUUUGGUAAAUUUCAUGCUAGCUGAACUGUGAAGUCAUUAUUAGGUAAGGUAUAAUACCCUCCUUUCGAAGAAGCCUUGUCCUACAGACAGCUAGAAGAUUGGUUAUUUGUCAGACUCUUAAAGGAGGGUAGUUUACUUAACCUAAUAACAAUGAAAAUUGGUAUCACCAAAUAAUGUUUUGCACGAAAGGAAUCGAACAAUAAUUUAUAUAUAUGUGUAUUUCCAGCAGAUAGAAGCAGACGUUUCCAGUGCUCAGUUUUUUCACUUCAUGUAUAUAAUCCGUUUAAUCCCGCUGCAAUUGUUUGUACCUGUCCUUAGUUAGGAAUCUGAUGUUUAGUAGUUGACGUUUGUUGAUUUGGUUCAUAAGACUAAGUGUUUCUCGUUUCUCGUUUUUUUUUUUAUAUAGAUUAAAGGUUUCAGACCACCAAUUAGAAAU
Molecule: long non-coding RNA, 558 nt
Filed under: Mytilus galloprovincialis (Mediterranean mussel)
Lineage: Eukaryota; Metazoa; Mollusca; Bivalvia; Mytilida; Mytilidae
Source: RNAcentral